GAUGAACGCUGGCGGCGUGCCUAAUACAUGCCAGUCGAGCGAACAGAUGAGGAGCUUGCUCCUCUGACGUUAGCGGCGGACGGGUGAGUAACACGUGGAUAACCUACCUAUAAGACUGGGAUAACUUCGGGAAACCGGAGCUAAUACCGGAUAAUAUAUUGAACCGCAUGGUUCAAUAGUGAAAGACGGUUUUGCUGUCACUUAUAGAUGGAUCCGCGCCGCAUUAGCUAGUUGGUAAGGUAACGGCUUACCAAGGCAACGAGGCGUAGCCGACCGGAGAGGGUGGUCGGCCACACGGGAGCUGAGACACCGUCCAGACGACUACGGGAGGCAGCAGUAGGGAAUCUGACGCAAUGGGCGAAAGCCUGACGGAGCAACGCCGCGUGAGUGAUGAAGGUCUUCGGAUCGGAAAACUCUGUUAUUAGGGAAGAACAAAUGUGUAAGUAACUAUGCACGUCGUGACGGUACCUAAUCAGAAAGCCACGGCUAACUACGUG
Molecule: ribosomal RNA, 497 nt
Filed under: uncultured bacterium
Lineage: Bacteria
Description: partial 16S ribosomal RNA
Rfam family: Bacterial small subunit ribosomal RNA
Source: RNAcentral